This 253-nucleotide ribosomal RNA is filed under the name uncultured bacterium. RNAcentral describes it as "partial 16S ribosomal RNA". It matches the Rfam family "Bacterial small subunit ribosomal RNA", at positions 524 to 776 of the family's 1533-position model. The record is from RNAcentral.
UACGUAGGGUGCGAGCGUUAAUCGGAAUUACUGGGCGUAAAGCGUGCGCAGGCGGUUUUGCAAGUCGGAUGUGAAAUCCCCGGGCUUAACCUGGGAAUGGCAUUCGGGACUGCAAGGCUGGAGUGCGGCAGAGGAGACUGGAAUUCCUGGUGUAGCAGUGAAAUGCGUAGAUAUCAGGAGGAAUACCGAUGGCGAAGGCAGGUCUCUGGGCUGACACUGACGCUCAUGCACGAAAGCAUGGGGAGCGAACAGG